RNAcentral lists this ribosomal RNA (471 nucleotides) under uncultured organism. Its description in RNAcentral is "partial 16S ribosomal RNA". It matches the Rfam family "Bacterial small subunit ribosomal RNA", at positions 334 to 797 of the family's 1533-position model. The record is from RNAcentral.
CACUCCUGCGGGAGGCAGCAGUGGGGAAUUUUGGACAAUGGGCGAAAGCCUGAUCCAGCAAUGCCGCGUGAGUGAAGAAGGCCUUCGGGUUGUAAAGCUCUUUUGUCAGGGAAGAAACGGUGAAAGCUAAUAUCUUUUGCUAAUGACGGUACCUGAAGAAUAAGCACCGGCUAACUACGUGCCAGCAGCCGCGGUAAUACGUAGGGUGCAAGCGUUAAUCGGAAUUACUGGGCGUAAAGCGUGCGCAGGCGGUUUUGUGAGUCUGAUGUGAAAUCCCCGGGCUCAACCUGGGAAUUGCAUUGGAGACUGCAAGGCUAGAAUCUGGCAGAGGGGGGUAGAAUUCCACGUGUAGCAGUGAAAUGCGUAGAUAUGUGGAGGAACACCGAUGGCGAAGGCAGCCCCCUGGGUUAAGAUUGACGCUCAUGCACGAAAGCGUGGGGAGCAAACAGGAUUAGAAACCCGGGUAGUCCC